AAUCUCUCUGGAGAUCCCUGUGUACCUGAGACUCUCUAAAGUAUUUGCAAUUGAAGAAGAGACAAGGAAAUAGGAUAAAAAUGGAAUCUCAGAAACUGUUGAGAAAUAAAGGAGUGUUCAAGAAAGGGAGAAGAAUCUUUUCCAUUUAACUUAAUUUCUGUUGCUGCUAUCAGGAUGUAGCAGAGAUGAAUGAUGCAAGUGGGUAACUACUCAUCUCAGUGCAUCCACGUGCAGGGAUUACUUACACUUAAAAUCUCUUCAUUGGUCUGUUGCCCAAAUUGGGCAGGAAAGCCAUCAGUUAGCAAAGGGAUGAAAAGAUGGAGAGGAAUAGGUGUUAAGAAUGGAGGGCAGCACAGAAGCAAAGAGGACACAGCAGAACAUUUGACUAGGUUAAUGAACUGUUUAUCUUGCAAAUUAGCUCUUUUUUUAAACUUAAAAACAAGGAAGGAAGACUUCUUCAAGAUUAGUCACUCCUCAGCAAGCAUAUGAGUGCUGUUAAUGACAUAACUGUGGGGCUAAGAAGGUUGGGCUCAGUGUCCUGAUCAGCCUGAUGAACUGGUUUGGACAGAUGCAAAACCAGAGAAUGAACCAGAACUGGAAGAAUAUUAAUCCCUCACUGAGGAACUGCUCAGGUAAAUCCAGUAAAUGAGCUAGUUCCUACUAAGCAGGGUGUUUGGAGAUAAACCUAUAUCAGUAUGCUACUGGUUUAUUGUUUUUCCUGAAAGUACAUUGGUUUUAAUUUUAGAAAUGAACUGUAUGUGAAAAGAGAAGAACACAGCAGGCAUGCCAGCUGAGCACAGCAAAUGGGCAGGUACUGUGGUCUUGUGGAGCUGUGUGAGAACUGCACCAUCCCAGUCCCAGGAAAAGUCAUAAGCCUCAAUAUCAGAGAGCUUCUCUUAGCACAACCAGCCAAAGGAAUGAGGAAAAGCAAACCCUACGGCAUUUGAACUAAAAGGAUGAGUUCUGCGGCUGCUACAUUUUAACAAGAAUAAUGUACCUCAAUUUUAUUUGAAUCCAAAAACCAGCAUGCUUUGCGGAAGGAUUUGUUCUGAAAACAUCUUUGCUCUCUACUGAGCUAGGCUGGACUGUGAGUUCAACACAAAGGGUCACAGGAUUGCACUAAAUACUCUGUUGAAUGAAAUUAGGAUUCUCUGUGCUGCUUCAACUGGAUGUGUUUUUCUUUACUUCUGAUUUUAUGGGUGUGUAGGUGGCAGGUAGUCUUUUAGUACCAUUAAUUCAAUACUUUUCCCUAAUCCUACAUUUAAUUAUAUUUCCAAAACAAGUAAAGUAUUUCCACAUGUAUCC
RNAcentral lists this long non-coding RNA (1305 nucleotides) under Gallus gallus (chicken). Its description in RNAcentral is "lncRNA (ENSGALG00010006609.1)". Lineage: Eukaryota; Metazoa; Chordata; Aves; Galliformes; Phasianidae. The record is from RNAcentral.